RNAcentral lists this long non-coding RNA (1041 nucleotides) under Pan troglodytes (chimpanzee). RNAcentral's name for it is "long non-coding RNA NONPTRT017135". Lineage: Eukaryota; Metazoa; Chordata; Mammalia; Primates; Hominidae. The record is from RNAcentral.
CUUUUUGCAUAUUUUAUCAGUUGAGGUUCUGUUUAGACUAGCAACAGAAACUUGCCAAUUUAAUAACAAAAACAAUUUAUUGAAAGGAUGUUGGGAACUGACUGUAAGGAAGACAGGAUUGGAGAACCAGGUUUAGAAGAGAAAAGGCAGUACCAGAAGUUUUUGAUUGGAGAAAACUACAGGGCAAUGUUGCACAAGAACCAUUGCUGUGUCUCAGGACUGCAUCAUUGCUUACCCAACAUGACUCAGCCUCGGUAUUGCCACUGACUCACGGAGCUCCUAAUAGAGGAGAAUUAGUGUCACAGAUUGACUGGAAAACCAAUCCACAUGAAGCCAGGAAGAGAAAUGAAGCUGCUGUUGCUGAAUCCAUAGCUGGCCUUAAUGAUGCUGGCUAGGAAAGACGGCCCAUUCUGGGAGAGAUAAGUCAAUUUUGCAGUGUCUGUUAUUAUCAUAGUGACUAUUGUCCUCCUGUUUUAUAUUUAUUUACCUAAAUUGUUUUGGAAAGACUCAGAGGUAUAGAGACAUGCCUACUUUUUGCAAAAAUCAUCACACUGUCAUGGAGGUAGUCCAGGCUAUGGGGCUCUUAUUUGUUGGUGUCUUGGGCAAGUUGCUUGACCUCUGAUCAUUGUUUGCUUAUUCUUAUAUCGCCCCUGUAUUUCAGACUCACUCUGUGUCAGGCAUUUGUUUACCUUUGUAGCAAGCUCAGGAGGAAAAUACCAUUGCCCUUGUUUUACAGGUGAUGAAACUGUACGUUUUCCAAGGACACAGUGCUAGGGAUUAUCAGUCUCAGACAUCUGCGUGAGCUGCAUCUGGGAGAGCUAUGUUUCUGAAUCUUUCUUGGUCUAUCAUAUAUCAUAUAUGAGUGUACAUUAGUCAAACGACUCAGGAUCAGGAAUCAGGAAUCAGAAGAAAAUAUUAAUGAUAACUUCAUCCUCAAGCACAAUGGACAAAGCUAUAGAUGUACCUAAUUCUUCAGCAAAAAUGUACAGUUAUGAGAUCUUGACAUCUAUGGUUCUUCAUUGUUCAGGACACAGCUGAAGU